Molecule: non-coding RNA, 74 nt
Organism: Myotis lucifugus (little brown bat)
Lineage: Eukaryota; Metazoa; Chordata; Mammalia; Chiroptera; Vespertilionidae
Source: Rfam
CACUCAGGGGGUGGGUCCCUCCGCCUGGAUUGUGAGAGGGUGCAGGCCAGGCCAAGGGACCCCACCGAUGCACG